This is a long non-coding RNA of Carassius auratus (goldfish), 5100 nucleotides long. The record is from Ensembl. Lineage: Eukaryota; Metazoa; Chordata; Actinopteri; Cypriniformes; Cyprinidae.
GUUUUACUGUAUUUUUGAUCAAAUAAAUGCAGCCUUGGUGAACAUAAGAGGCUUCUUUCAAAAAUAUAAAAAACUCCAACCUAAAAAUUAUGAACUUUAGUGUUGAUAAUAUGCUGGCAGAUUUACCAAUUUAAAAAUGGGAAAUUUCAUAAAUAUUUACUGUGACACAAAGCCAAGUAUAUAAACAUUGUUUCUAUUAUGUCCAUAUCAUUGAUCAUAAUCUGAUUACUGGCUAAGCAAACUGGUUUGAUUUUUGAUGUAACUUUCUUAAUCUCUCUCUUUCUCUUCUUUUCCCUCACGCUGUCUCAGUUCUGAGGAAUCUCGUGCUAGUUCUGGCCUGUCCAUGAGGAGCUCAGCAGGGGCGCUCUCAGCGGCCCAGGGAUCAGACGCUGGGUCAGGGCCCAACAUAGAGCCUUUGGAUAUGUUUAUGUUGGGGCAGGACCAGGACUCUCUUCGAGGACACGUGGACUCUGGUCUGACCCCUGAUGCUCCUCGGUCGGUCUCUGAGAGGGUCUCCCCAACACUCCCCUCCUCCCCGGGCCGUCCAGGUGCCAACGUUAAACCAGUCCUGCCACCCAUCCCAUCUGGAAGGAAGACCAAUGAUUCUGGCUCAAACAGUAACUAACAGGACAGAGAGCUAAAGAGGGUAUAGACAGUGAGAUAUUAGCACAUCAUGUGAGUGUAAGCAGCAAAAAUAGAUUUUUGAAAUAAGUUUAAUUAACCCCUGUAGCUUCAAGCCAACCAUUCAAUAAAUGUCAAUGAAGGCAACAGAUGUGCUCAGUGCUUUGAGGCAAAAGCAGUCGGGUCAUUGGAAAAUAUUCCCAUCUCUCAUCUGUGUCCUCCAGUGUGUGUGAUCUGAGAGGUUGAAGGCUUAUCUGUCAUCAGCAGAUCUAAGCUCUGGAAACGGCCUGAAGCUCUUAAAUCCCUGGACACAGGAAGUAAGGCAAGAAGGUGUGCAAUGGAGGUCACACUUUACAUCACAACGUUCAUGUUACAGAAUAAUCACUUUGCUAUACCGUUCAAAAGUUUGGGGUCUAAAAGUUAUUUAUUUAUAAAAAAGAUUUUGAUUGAUUGAUUUUUGUUUAAAUAAGAGAACUAUUAAAAGAUUAAAGUAUUAAAUUAUGAAAUUAAAUAAAAGUUAUAGUAAAGACAAUAAUAAAGUCACAACAAAAUGAUAUUUCAAAUAAAUGGUGUCAGCUUUGCCAUCACAGGAAUAAAAUACAGUUUAAAAUAAAAAACAUUUUAAUUUGUAAUAAUAUUUUACAAUAUUAUUUUACUUUGAUCAAAUAAAUGCAGUCUUGGUGAGCAUUUAUUUCAGUAUCGUUUUAAAAAUAGUACUCAACCCUAACUUUAGAAUUCAUUGCAAGUAACUUUGGAUAAUUAUGGCGGCCCAGUAGUGCACAACACAACAGAAAUAAGCCGCAAAGCAAUGAAAUUAGCACAAAACAAAUGUAAACAAGUCGCAACACAACAGAAACAAGCUGCAAAGCAACACAAUUAGCACAAAAUUAUGCAAACAAGUCAUAACACAACAGAAACAAGCCACAACACAACAGAAAUAAGCCACAACACAACAGAAACAAGCUGCAAUGCAACAAAAUUAGCACAAAACAAUGAAAACAAGCCACAACACAACAGAAACAAGUCGCAUCGCAACGAUAUUAGCACAACACAGCAUAAACAAUGUGAAACGCAACGAUAUUAGCACAACACAGCAUAAACAAGGUGCAAUGCAAUGAUAUUAGCACAACACAGCAUAAACAAGGUGCAACGCAAUGAUAUUAGCACAACACAGCAUAAACAAGGUGCAACGCAACAAAAUUAGCACAACAAAGCAGAAUUAGCGCAAAACAACUAAAAUUAUUCCAAUGCUUUUUUGGUUGUGGCGAUUUCAGUGUGUUGUGGAGAUUUUGUUGUGUUAUGCACUACUGACCCAAUGUAGAUUGUUAGCAUAAAUAUAUAGCAUAAAAUAAAUAGCACAAGAACAUUUUAGCAUAAAUUAACACAAUUAUGUUAACAUAAUAUGUAUGUACAGUAACAUGAACUUGUAAUCUUUGUGUAACUCAGUGAUCUUCUGCGGCUCAUUCCUUACCACAAAUGAGUAGCUGGAGCGGUUGAGGAGACUCUCCUCCUGUAAUUAAUGUAUUUUAUGGCUCAAUCUGACACACAGACUGAGUAAAUAUAGUGAGACAGCUAUCCGGGUAUCUCAUGACACAAGUUGCAUUUCAUUUCCACUUUCAUUUUUCAUCAGCGUGCAGUGAGCCUGUGUGUGUAUCUGUACAGUAAGCACACACACACACAAACCUGGCCGUCUAUCAGCGUCAGUCCCUCUAACCAGCAGAUGUUGCAGUGAUCUCAUAAUUCAGAGGCAGUUUCAGACAAGACAGUUGUGCAAACCCUCGGGCAUAACCUACUUACAGAAACAGUCUUCACACUUUUACUAUCUUGUCACACUCAUCUAGAUCUCACGCUUCUAAUGCUGCACUAUAUACAACUAUAUGAAAUUAUUCCUUCAUGAAUGAAGUCAGAUAACUUGGUCUUGGUCAAAUGAACAUGAAGUGAUAACAAAUAGAUAUCGUGGCCGUGACUUUAGAUUUAAUUCCUCGAGAAUUUAUCAAUUUGUGUCUGUGUACAGUAUUUAUUCGUUUGUUCCUUCAUUUUAGUAAAAUCAUGGCCACAUUAUAAUUAAUGUACUUAUUUGAAUUUAGACAAAUCAUGACCACAGCUUUUUUAACCUGCAUUUAUCGUAUAACAUCAUAGCCAUACAUAAUCAUACAUAUAUUUUUGCUUAAGAUCUAAGGGUAAAAAUAAACUUAGUGACUUAAAAAAAAUAUUUUUGUGAUUUGUUAGAAAUAGAAUUUUAAUGCUAAUGCUAGCUUUUUAGAUUUUUUUUGUAGCAAGAAAGGCCCAAAACUUAAAAUGAUGCAUAUACUGUCUGUGUGUGUAUAGAUAUAGAUAUAGAUAUAGAUAUAGAUAUAGAUAUUCUGUGAAUGGUGCUUUGGAAAGCUCAAAAUUAUUAUUUAAGACCAAAAAAUAUAUAAAUAAAAUUGGAACCUUUAUUUUUUAGAAUGUAGAGGUAACCUACAACACAGACACCCUUUUAUAAAAUCAUGGAGAUUUUCAUGACAAGCUGACUCAUAAUUUCCUUCUCUUCUUUCAUCUUCGGACAUAUUUCCAUAACCUGGCCUCUGAAAACCAAGAUCAUAUUUCAGAGAAGGACAAACCUGUCCACAUUAUAUUAUCCAGAGCAGCGCUGGGAGACAAAGAAACCGGCAUAAAUCAUCUUUUCCACACAGAGACGAGCAAGAGAGGCUAAAUCAUAGUAGAGCUGUUGUAUUUUACCCUCAUUGCUGCUACAGCUAUUUGUCAGCUCAGGCCUACAGGGCCACAGCUGUGACUGUUCUUGAUACACUACAUUGUUAAAAUGGGGCUUCAGUGAAGUUUAGGCAUAUGGUUUCUCAGACACAGCAUAGAGAUUGUGGAUUAUAAAUAGGAACUAUUUCUAAAUAUUCAUCUGCAUUAUAUUCUUCAUUCUGCUAAUAGAAGUUUUUUUAAGCAAUAUCAUUACACUGUAUGAGUAAGAGUGCUGUUGUACUGAACAUCAACAGACUUGCUUUCAUAUACCAGUUCAAUAAGCAAUCCGUUAAUAUGAGUGUGUAAUUAAAACUUUAAUGCGAGUACUUGUUAUAAAUGAUUUAGCACUAUCAAUGCUGUUUCCUUGUGGCUUUGACUGCUUAUGCAUGUAAACGAGGCAAACACCAGACAUCCAACUAAUAACUUUAAUCAAAGACUGAUUUUAAUUUUAUAUCAAGACAUUGCAUUGCACUGCAUUUGUGUUUGCAGACUUAAAAGUACAUUCAUAAAUAUACCAUGCUUACUUAUUAAUAUUUUGUCCGAUUGGUCUAAUUAAUUAUACUUUCAGUAGCCAAGCAGUUUUGGUAAGUGUCCCUCUUACAGUUUAAUUAUACAGAUUUUGAAAGCAUGUCACUUACAGAUGCAUUUGAGCUGGACGUACAGUGUUAGAGGCUUCAGGUAUUAAUAAAACAUUCAGACAGAGAAAUGAUUAUUAUGUGCUGUUGAUUGAUGCAUAUCUUCAACCGUUCAACAAAUGUGAAGAAUGUAAUUUGUGUCUUCACAUAUCGAUGUCCUCUAUAAAUGAUUUCUUAUUUGUAGUGUAAAAUUGAAUCGAAUCGAAUCUAAUAUUGUAGUUACUUCUAAAGUAAGCUUCUUUAAUUUGGCUUGGCUGUUUGUGUUGAGUCAACAUUUAAUCUUUAAAGGUGUAGUUAGCUUCACCCCUGGGAACUGACUAGCGCUUCUGCUUGGAAUCCAUGCAGCUCAGUUGUUGUUACCAAGGUAACCGGCUCUCUGCAAUGCACCUUCUGAUUGUGUGUUUGGAGACAGGAAGCCUGAAGCAUUGACUUCAUGUGCCAACAGCCCCACAUUAAUUCCCUCUCAUGCUGAUGGAGGAAGAUUUCUGAUACUUUUAAUUAGGUGAUACUCACUCUCCUACACAGUUUCUUGUUCUUUCUCUGCCUUGUGCAUUGUCAGACAAAUUAUAAAAGUUUUGAGACUUGUUAAAAUGCUUGUUUAAAGGAAGCAGCUUAAACUGAAGUCAGCCUGACUUAAUGGUCACACAUCGUCACAGUUGAGAAUAGAAUGAGGGUCCAGUAUAUAAUUACUGAAAAUGGUUGAACUUUAACAGUGGCAUGUUGGCACACUCUCGAAAUACAAUACAAGAGGCACACAUACCAUGGUUUUAUAUUGAUAUAAUGUAGGCUAUUAUGCAAUUACUGUAAUAAUAUGAUGCUUAUUGUAGUAACACAUUUUUAACCUAUUAACCAAUUUUAAUUACCUUUUAAUCUUUUUUUUUUUAAUCUUAUUUAUUAGAUGAUUUGUGCUUAAUGUUUAUUAAAUCAUGUUACCAUUUCUUGGUAUUUUAUUUAUACUUUUUUUUUUUUUUUUUUUACAUAAUUUUAUUUUACAUAACUUAUUUUUCUUUAUUGUGUAUUAGAUUAUUAGAUCAUAUAUUUUUAACAAUGUUUCUCAAUCAUGUUACCAAAUCUAUGUAUUUUAUUUAUUUAUUAUAUUAUUCAUUGUUUA